AUAAUUUAAUUUAAUGCAGUUGACUGAUUUAUUUAUUUGCUUAAUUUGAAAUUACAUGUUUCAUUCUGUGUUGACUUGCCAUUUCAAAGAUUAAAUUUAAACAAUACUACACUUCAUUAAAAUAUCUGUAAUAUGUUUAUUGCAAUAUUAUUCCAUCAUUGCCACUCAUGGCCCAGCUCUGGAUGAAAGGGUACAUUGCCGACAGGAGGCCAGCUUGAGGCCACAUUUGGGCCAAGAUCGCUUGCUAUGUGGGAAGGACCACACUGUUCAUGAUGGAACAUCACUCUUAGGUCAACCUAUACAUCGUCUUUACUUUUGAAUAACUAAAAUACAGAUUGUCACUUUCUGUGGUGAGAAGUUCAACAUUUUCAGUUUACUUGUCUCAUAUCACAAAUGCUAUAAAGUCCUACUGCAGUCAGUAUAUAUGCUAUUAAAUAAAAGUAUAUAGACAAAUUUUGUAACUUGCAUGCAAUUAUGGCAGUAUUUUUUUCCAUAGUUGCAACGCUAUUUGCUGUUGCUCAGUGUUGCUUUGAGCUGAUUGGUUAAGCUGACUGUCACUCAGGAAUCUGGCCAAUGACUAGCGAGCGCGCCGUUUUCCCGCUCAAAUUUGAAUGUACAGUGUCAGUGUGCCGCUGCUGCUCAGCUUCUGCAGUCUGCUGCGGUCGCUACUCUAGUAAUGGCUUUUAUAUGUAUUAUCUGAGUGUUAAAUUCAUAUUUUGAGCGAGUUUGUGUUGUGGGAUGACGAUUGAGAACGAAUAAACGCGAAUAUGGACACUUCUACCAGCAGCUAACAGACAAGCAAACUGCAAAAGAGAGGACCUCAAGCAUAAUCCUUGGACAUUUGGAGAAGAACACUGUAUGCAAAACAGGAUUUUGGAUCAGCUGUGAAGAUUUUGUAUGGAGCUGAAGUUUUGGAAAUGAAAAUCUUCUACCAUAUGAUCUUCAGAGGAACUAAUCCAGCUGAUUACUGGCAAUUUGGAGGAGGACUGCUCUUUAUCUGCUGUGUCUGUCACUUCUGGCCAUGGACCUUUUCUUGUAUGUUUUGGUUUUACUUAUUACACUAAUAUAGCUAUUAGUUUUUAACUAUAUGUAGAAUUAAAAUACAUGUGUUUUUCUACAUAUAUUACCAGAGCUACUGUGGUGCCCAAAAUUAUUAGAACACUAUUUAUUUUAUACCAGUUAAAAAAUGGUUUUAAGUCAGUUAUUUCUAUCUUUUGCUGUAGUGUGUCAGUAGGAAAUAGUAGUUUUAGGCACUUGUGUAAAAAUUCUGUUAAAUGAGGAUGUUGUCAAAAAUAAUGCCAUAAAUACAUUUUCUUUAUCAAUUAACUUUUAUAACUAAAUUAAAUCAACAUUUAGUGUGACCAUGUUACGUGCCGCGUGUGUUUUUGUUUCUUUUCUCUUAUUUCUAUCAAUCUGUUCUCUAGUCUGUCAUCAUUGUUCUUAGGUCUCUGCUGGUUGGAGGA
Onychostoma macrolepis is the source of this 1463-nucleotide long non-coding RNA. RefSeq lists it as uncharacterized. The record is from RefSeq and is a predicted model, not a curated record. The transcript has 4 exons. Lineage: Eukaryota; Metazoa; Chordata; Actinopteri; Cypriniformes; Cyprinidae.